AUGGAGAGUUUGAUCCUGGCUCAGGACAAACGCUGGCGGCGUGCUUAACACAUGCAAGUCUAAGGAGAACGUUAUUUUCGGAUAACAAGUAAACUGGCGGACGGGUGAGUAACGCGUAGGCUACCUACCUUUAAGAUUGGGAUAACGUUUGGAAACGAACGCUAAUACCAAAUAAUAUUCUUUGAAUCAAAGGGGGCUUCGGCUCUUGCUUAAAGAUGGGCCUGCGUCUGAUUAGCUAGAUGGUAAGGUAAUGGCUUACCAUGGCAACGAUCAGUAGCUGGUUCGAGAGGAUGAUCAGCCACACUGGGACUGAGAUACGGCCCAGACUCCUACGGGAGGCAGCAGUGGGGAAUUUUGCGCAAUGAGGGAAACCUUGACGCAGCAACGCCGCGUGAUCGAAGAAGCUUCUAGGAGUGUAAAGAUCUGUCAUAGGGGAAGAAAUGCUCAUAUUCUAACACAAUAUUUGCUUGACGGUACCCUAUAAGAAAGCUCCGGCUAACUAGGUGCCAGCAGCCGCGGUAAUACCUGGGGGGCAAGCGUUGUCCGGAUUCAUUGGGCGUAAAGGGCUCGUAGGUGGACUGACCAGUCAAAAUUGAAAUACAAUGGCUUAACCAUUGGCACGGUUUUGAUACUAUCAGUCUUGAGUGAAAUAGAGGUAAGCGGAAUUCCUAGUGUAGCGGUGAAAUGCGUAGAUAUUAGGAGGAACACCAAAGGCGAAGGCAGCUUACUGGAUUUAUACUGACACUGAGGAGCGAAAGCGUGGGUAGCGAACAGGAUUAGAGACCCUGGUAGUCCACGCCGUAAACGAUGAGCACUUGGUGGUGGGGGAUUCGACCCUUUCACUGCCGGAGUUAACGCAUUAAGUGCUCCGCCUGGGGACUACGAUCGCAAGAUUGAAACUCAAAGGAAUUGACGGGGACCCGCACAAGCGGUGGAUUAUGUGGUUUAAUUCGAUGCAACGCGAAGAACCUUACCUAGACUUGACAUGUUAGUGAAAGCUUUGUGAAAGCAAAGGCCUUUAUAGGCUUGCCUAUAAACACUAUCACAGGUGAUGCAUGGCUGUCGUCAGCUCGUGUCGUGAGAUGUUCGGUUAAGUCCGAUAACGAGCGCAACCCCUAUCGCUAGUUGCCAGCACGUAAUGGUGGGGACUCUAGGGAAACUGCCCGGGAUAACCGGAAGGAAGGUGGGGCCGACGUCAAGUCAGUAUGUCCCUUACGUCUAGGGCUACACACGUAAUACAAUGGAAGGUACAGAGGGCAGCGAGACCGCGAGGUGGAGCCAAUCCCAAAAAACCUUCCCAAGUUCGGAUUGCAGUCUGCAACUCGACUGCAUGAAGCAGGAAUCGCUAGUAAUCGCUCAUCAGCAUGGAGCGGUGAAUACGUUCCCGGGUCUUGUACACACCGCCCGUCACGCCAUGGAAGCCGGCAGCACCCGACACCAGUGUCCUAACCUUCGGGAAGGAGCUGUUUAAGGUGAAGUUGGUAACUGGGGCGAAGUCGUAACAAGGUAGCCGUACCGGAAGGUGCGGCUGGAUUACCUCCUUUCUA
RNAcentral lists this ribosomal RNA (1547 nucleotides) under Fidelibacterota bacterium. Its description in RNAcentral is "bacterial SSU rRNA". It matches the Rfam family "Bacterial small subunit ribosomal RNA". Lineage: Bacteria; Pseudomonadati; Fidelibacterota. The record is from RNAcentral.